AGGGGAAAGGGGGCAGAAGUUUGAGUUAAUAACUAAUAGCUAAAGAUGUAAACAAUAAGCCUCCAUAAAACCCCAAAAGGACUGGACUGGGUUCUGAGAGCUUCCAGGUUGUUGAGCAGGUGGAGGUUCUGGGAGGGUCCACACCCAGAGAAGGCAUGGAAGCUGACCCCUUCCCCAUACCUUGCUCUUUGCAUCUCUUCCAUUUGGCUGUUCCCGAGUUGUAUACUUUGUAAUAAGUGGGAUUUCCACUCAACAACAAUUCAGCCACACUGCUUCACACAUCUAGAAUCCAUCCAAAAUUGUAAAGGUUUUGUGGCACUACAGUGAAAGAGGCAAGAACAUCUUCCAAACAUCCAGCACAAGGGCACACAGGAGGCCGGCAUAAUCACGAAUUGCAGCUGUCUGAAGGGCAGUCACAUAAAAGAGGGGAAGCUUCACCUUUGCUUCACAAGGCACAUCUUGAACCAGGGAUGGAAAUUACAGAGAGGCCAAAACCAGCUCGGUGUGAGCAGGACUGGUAACAGACUGGCCAAGCAACAGAAGGGGCUGCCCUGUGAAGAAGCAAGCUCUCUGUCAAUGGGAGGUGCAAGCUGAGCCUGCACUACCUUUUGUCACGGUUGCUAUGGAAAAGAUUAAGAGCCCGGGCUGGUUGAGUGUCUGCAUGACAUGGCAGCUGGCUCCCUGAAGAGCGCAUGAUCCGAAAGAGAGAGCAAGACAGAAGCGCAGUGUCUUCAACAGCAUAUCUUUGAAAGUCAUAUUCCACCGUUUUCACUACAUUCUAUUGAUAAGGCCUGGCUGUUCCCACCUCAAACCACUUCUUAGCUUCAUUUGUUCUCAUAACAAAAGGAUAGCCCUUCCUCCUCUGGAGGCCUGGGCAUCAGCAAGUCGGAUGGCAGUGGAAGGUGGAGAAAUGGAAUCCUGCUGGGGGCUCAGGAGGCCUGCCCCCUGAUGCUGCCGUGCACUGCAGAUGUCCUUGAUGAAGAGAAUGAAUGGAAGCUGUCUUUCUCAAUGGCAAAAGGGCAUACUGCUGUUAUUGUCAGUGAGGGGUCAGUAGUUUAAAUGAUGAAACUCUGGGGAUCAGCGUAAAGUAAACCAACAUACUGCAUGUAAAUUCCUCAUUCUUACUGCUGUGAGAACAAUUGUUAGGAGCCAAAAACUUCAGAGCUUUCAAAGAACUGUAAUGAGAUAGCACAAUGCAGGCAAAAAGCCAGUGUUAACGGAGCAAGAAACUUCCCAGUUCUGACAUUCACAGCAUGACCUAGAGCAUGCGGAUUCCCCUCUCUGAGUCACUGGUUUCUCACCUGCAAAAGAAAGCUGGGACAGGGAAGGAGGAAGAAGCUUCGAGAGGCUGGAACAGUUGAGGGAGCGCUGACACGGUAAAGGCCACUUUGCUCAUCAUCAUCGGGAGCGCUGCCGAAAAUUUCCACUCUGUUUACUCCCAAGACCUUACUCCUACUAUGUGGAGACAUAUUUGAAUAA
This is a long non-coding RNA of Gorilla gorilla gorilla (western lowland gorilla), 1479 nucleotides long. RefSeq lists it as uncharacterized. The record is from RefSeq and is a predicted model, not a curated record. Lineage: Eukaryota; Metazoa; Chordata; Mammalia; Primates; Hominidae. The transcript is spliced from 8 exons.